This 523-nucleotide ribosomal RNA is filed under the name uncultured bacterium. RNAcentral describes it as "bacterial SSU rRNA". It matches the Rfam family "Bacterial small subunit ribosomal RNA", at positions 355 to 896 of the family's 1533-position model. The record is from RNAcentral.
UGGGGAAUAUUGCNCAAUGGGCGAAAGCCUGAUUGCAGCAACGCCGCGUGAACGAUGAAGGUCUUCGGAUCGUAAAGUUCUGUUGCAGGGGAAGAUAAUGACGGUACCCUGUGAGGAAGCCCCGGCUAACUACGUGCCAGCAGCCGCGGUAAUACGUAGGGGGCUAGCGUUAUCCGGAUUUACUGGGCGUAAAGGGUGCGUAGGUGGUCCUUCAAGUCGGUGGUUAAAGGCUACGGCUCAACCGUAGUAAGCCGCCGAAACUGGAGGACUUGAGUGCAGGAGAGGAAAGUGGAAUUCCCAGUGUAGCGGUGAAAUGCGUAGAUAUUGGGAGGAACACCAGUAGCGAAGGCGGCUUUCUGGACUGCAACUGACACUGAGGCACGAAAGCGUGGGUAGCAAACAGGAUUAGAUACCCUGGUAGUCCACGCUGUAAACGAUGAGUACUAGGUGUCGGGGGUUACCCCCCUCGGUGCCGCAGCUAACGCAUUAAGUACUCCGCCUGGGGAGUACGCACGCAAGUGUG